ACGGUCAUAUCACAAACACCGGUUCCCUUACGAUCACCGAAGUUAAGCAACAUCGAUCCUGAUCCAUAUUUGGAUGGGUGACCGCUUCAGAACACCAGGUGCUGUAAG
Acanthosepion pharaonis is the source of this 108-nucleotide non-coding RNA. Lineage: Eukaryota; Metazoa; Mollusca; Cephalopoda; Sepiida; Sepiidae. The record is from the annotation of a GenBank genome assembly.